CUGCAGCCAAUGAAACUGUCUCCCUCUCUCUGUGGGGACUUGGUGCAUAGUGGCUGCAAGCAGCAGCCCCUUGGUAGUGUAUGCAGCCUGUUGCAUGUAAGGGUUGUCCUGAAAGACAUUGUGAAUAGCC
Molecule: small nucleolar RNA, 130 nt
Organism: Choloepus didactylus (southern two-toed sloth)
Lineage: Eukaryota; Metazoa; Chordata; Mammalia; Pilosa; Megalonychidae
Product: small nucleolar RNA SNORA70
Exons: 1
Source: RefSeq, a predicted model, not a curated record